UCCUCCCAGCCUGUGAGCAGGCUGUUCCUUCUGCUGAGAUGAUCCUUGGUCCCUUAUUCUUCCAGUCUAGAUCUGCAGACAAGGAUUUGCCUGCCAGUGAUUUCUUUGGAAAAGUGUUCCUGCAAAGAAAAAUAAAGGAAAUCAUAAAAAUUUGAGAAAGAACGGAAAAAAGCCACUCACAGUCAUUGAUAAGUGGGUGAGUUCUGAGGGCAGAUGUGACUCAGUCCGGAGGAUUCUCACUCCUGGAACUUGGGACUUGGAUCUGGCAUUGGAGAACACAGGGACAUGGAUCCACUGACUCUGACCUUCUGUGGUUAAAGCUUUCUCUGGCAUCGACAACAAAACCAUUUGCUGGAAGAACACGGCCGGUUACCGGUUCACUUAUAAGCAAAGUGGCACUAAAAGACUAACUUCGGUACUUAAGAGGCAAAUGGUUUAUCCAAAGUCACCUGGCUGCUGAUCAUCCAAAUAAAGAUGAGAACAAAUGAUUAAUGGCUGUCAUAUUCUCAGCAAAUUCCACAUCAGUUGUCUUUGGAUAAUAGGAAACUGAAGUUUGAAUGAUCCUUAUAUUUUCUUGUAUUUCACAUGCUGGAGGAAGGUCUAUAACAAAAAUCAUGGACAUGGAGGAGUCUUACUUCCUACAUGGAUCACCUGAUGGUAUAUGAAAAAAAUCUUUGAGACUGAAAAUGUUGAGCCAAGGAUGCUCCAUGGCUGAUUGAAGAGCUGAGCCUGGACCACAUGCUUCCUGAAUUUCCCACACCCGAUCUGCUGAAUCAACCAAACUGCAAUGCAUGAAAUAGAAAACACACCAUUCAAAAAGAAGUGGGGCUUAAUCAGAAGAGAGUGAUUAUAGAAUUUUUUAUUGUCUCUAGGAAUGAUUUCUAGUUCUGUCAGUAUGGCUACGUUAGUUUCCUCUGGCUGGUCUACUCUUGUAGGCAAUAUGACAAAGACCCUUCAUUUCUGGGGGCACCCACAUCGGUGUUUGGAUUUCUCUCUACUGGCAACCAGGGUUGCAGCAGAUGCCUCAAAUGUAGCUCAACUUAGACAUUUUCUAACCGAACAUCAUGUCAGAUCCCAGUGACUGAGGGCGAGGUCCUAUGAGACUGUCCCCCACUUGAGAUACAAUCUUUCUCACUUACAGCAAUCUUUCUCAUCAUGUUGAAUUCAUUAGGACAAACUCAAGGUACCAGUGUACCCUCUUUUCUGAACACCUUUCCCAUGAUCACACCUGCCAAGUCCCUGUACUGCAUGAGGUAACUAUUGGUGCCUUCUGGAAGUAAAGCUUGGAUGAGUUGGAGCAGGAAGCACUAGCUAGCCUGUGUAUGUGAGCCACCAAAUCUUGCUCUCUCAUUACAGUGCAUUGACAAGUGCACGUUCUCCUCUAUGUUCCAAAAGAACUUGUGUAAAAUUUGUAUUAUUUCUCAAAAUGUUUAAUGCAAUUGUCAACAGAUCUUUGUGUAUGGAUACUAAUUUUCCAUUUCCUUAAUAUACUUUUUAUUUCUUCUUUGAAUCAUUUUGGUAGAUAGAGUCUCUCAAGGAUUUAUUUUAUCUGAAAC
This is a long non-coding RNA of Cavia porcellus (domestic guinea pig), 1556 nucleotides long. RefSeq lists it as uncharacterized. The record is from RefSeq and is a predicted model, not a curated record. Lineage: Eukaryota; Metazoa; Chordata; Mammalia; Rodentia; Caviidae. The transcript has 6 exons.